RNAcentral lists this long non-coding RNA (1090 nucleotides) under Numida meleagris (helmeted guineafowl). RNAcentral describes it as "lncRNA (ENSNMEG00000012808.1)". The record is from RNAcentral. Lineage: Eukaryota; Metazoa; Chordata; Aves; Galliformes; Numididae.
UUUAAGAGUUAGAGUAGUUACUGCAGCUCUAGAAGAACUAACAGUCAGUAGAUCUCACGCUCCAUUUAACAUUAUGCUAAUCCCACUUCUUUGAUAUUUCCCAUCCCAAAGAUUACAGUGAGAUUUCCAAAGCAAUACACUGAGGGCUGAGAUGCUCAUGAAAUCUGGGGGUUAUGAAAAACCUCUGCAGAGUGCAGCCCAAUCUUGCUAUGCAUUUUGGUGAUCAGGCUGAGCAGGUGCAAGGAGCUGGGUGGUUUGGUGAUUGCAGAGGGGCUGCAGCUGGGUUGCUGCUGGCUCAGGGUGCCUCCCUGGUGGGAUUACUUUGAUGUGGCACAGGGAUACAGCAAGUGAAGCGUAGCUGCAGCUCUUUUGGGGAGCACUGGAGAACAGCCUUGUCCUCCUGGUCUGGAAGGUCAGGCAUGUGCCGGCUGCUUGAUGGAGGGGAUGAGAGCAGAGCAGCAGGCUGGAGGAGCUGCCUCACACCGUGCCACGUCCACCUGCCUUGAGGUUGAGUGUUUUUGGAAAGCUCAGGAGCUGCUGAGACCUCUCCAACAUCUGGAGCCUUUCCCCUUCUCCUUUCCCUUCCCCAUGGAUGAGGCAAAUUAAACUACCUGGUUUGUUUCUAGCAAAUAUUUGUCCAAACUCCUAAAAUUCUUCUGCAGAGGAAAUUUGCAAGUGUCAUUCUCUCUCCUUCUCAUCAUUUUGUGAGAAGCUGAAAAUGUGGAUAGGUCCUUCUAUCCUAUAACCAUAAAGCCAUAAAACUUCUUGCAAUGACAAUUAAGGUGAGGUUUUAAAGAUUUGAGGCCUGCUGUGUGCAGAGGCUCAGUUGCGAUAGUUUUCCCUGGAAUCCGUUCACAUGUUAAAAAGAGUUAUGUGCUUUUAAUACCUCGCGUUCACUAACACGUGGUAGGAUUAACAAACCAAACCUUGAGUAAGUUGCAUGCUUUGAUCAUUUCCUCGUGCUUCCUGAAAGCAUCUCCUGAGACAAACUUGCUUCAGACUUCCCUUUACAUACAUGGGUUCAACUUGCAGUAUCUUUUCAAAAGUUUGUAUUAUGUUGAGACAUGAAAUAAACAGUGAAAAGAAACCA